Molecule: non-coding RNA, 100 nt
Organism: Ascosphaera acerosa
Lineage: Eukaryota; Fungi; Ascomycota; Eurotiomycetes; Onygenales; Ascosphaeraceae
Source: the annotation of a GenBank genome assembly
GCCCGGUUAGCUCAAUCGGUAGAGCGUGAGACUCUUAAUUCUCAGCCUCAAUUUGGAAGUUGAAAUCUCAAGGUUGCGGGUUCGACCCCCGCAUCGGGCU